Molecule: regulatory RNA element, 93 nt
Organism: Streptococcus sanguinis SK36
Lineage: Bacteria; Bacillati; Bacillota; Bacilli; Lactobacillales; Streptococcaceae
Rfam family: Glycine riboswitch aptamer
About the family: This family represents the bacterial glycine riboswitch. Glycine riboswitches usually consist of two metabolite-binding aptamers domains with similar structures in tandem. The aptamers cooperatively bind glycine to regulate the expression of downstream genes.
Source: Rfam
GGACGGAACUCUGGAGAGACCAUGAAUGGCACCGAAGGGGCAAGGCGGUUUAGAACCGCUCAAACUCUCAGGUAAAAGGACAGAGCGAAGAGG